Molecule: ribosomal RNA, 509 nt
Filed under: Natalis sp. 1 NLG-2013
Lineage: Eukaryota; Metazoa; Arthropoda; Insecta; Coleoptera; Cleridae
Description: partial 16S ribosomal RNA
Rfam family: Bacterial large subunit ribosomal RNA (bases 386-509)
Source: RNAcentral
UGUCCUUUUGAUUAUAAUUUAAGGUCUAAUCUGCCCACUGAGUUUUUAAAUGGCCGCGGUAUUUUGACCGUGCAAAGGUAGCAUAAUAAUUAGUUUCUUAAUUAGAAGCUGGAAUGAAAGAUUGAAUGAGAAAAUAACUGUCUCAAUUUUAUUUAUUUAGAAAUUUAUUUUUAAGUUAAAAAGCUUAAAUAUUUUUAAAAGACGARAAGACCCUAUAGAGUUUUAUAUAAUUUUUAUGUUAAUUAUUUAUUUAUUUUAUUAUAAUAAAUUUAAAUUUAUAUUUUGUUGGGGUGAUAGAAAAAUUAAUUAAACUUUUUUUAUAUUAAUACAUUUAUUUAUGAAUAUUUGAUCCUUAUUUUUGAUUAUAAGAUUAAAUUACCUUAGGGAUAACAGCGUAAUUUUUUUUGAGAGUUCUUAUCGAAAAAAAAGAUUGCGACCUCGAUGUUGGAUUAAAAUUAAAUUUUGGUGUAGAAGCUAAAAGUUUAGGUCUGUUCGACCUUUAAAAUUUU